GACGAACGCUGGCGGCGUGCUUAACACAUGCAAGUCGAACGGAAAGGCCCUGCUUUUGUGGGGUGCUCGAGUGGCGAACGGGUGAGUAACACGUGAGUAACCUGCCCUUGACUUUGGGAUAACUUCAGGAAACUGGGGCUAAUACCGGAUAGGAGCUCCUGCUGCAUGGUGGGGGUUGGAAAGUUUCGGCGGUUGGGGAUGGACUCGCGGCUUAUCAGCUUGUUGGUGGGGUAGCGGCUUACCAAGGCUUUGACGGGUAGCCGGCAUGAGAGGGUGACCGGCCACAUUGGGACUGAGAUACGGCCCAGACUCCUACGGGAGGCAGCAGUGGGGAAUAUUGCACAAUGGGCGGAAGCCUGAUGCAGCAACGCCGCGUGCGGGAUGACGGCCUUCGGGUUGUAAACCGCUUUCGCCUGUGACGAAGCGUGAGUGACGGUAAUGGGUAAAGAAGCACCGGCUAACUACGUG
Molecule: ribosomal RNA, 468 nt
Filed under: uncultured bacterium
Lineage: Bacteria
Description: partial 16S ribosomal RNA
Rfam family: Bacterial small subunit ribosomal RNA
Source: RNAcentral